UGGGGAAUAUUGCACAAUGGGCGAAAGCCUGAUGCAGCAACGCCGCGUGAGUGAUGACGGUCUUCGGAUUGUAAAGCUCUGUCUUUGGGGACGAUAAUGACGGUACCCAAGGAGGAAGCCACGGCUAACUACGUGCCAGCAGCCGCGGUAAUACGUAGGUGGCAAGCGUUGUCCGGAUUUACUGAGCGUAAAGGGUGCGUAGGCGGACCUUUAAGUGAGAUGUGAAAUCCCCGAGCUUAACUUGGGGGCUGCAUUUCAAACUGGAGGUCUAGAGUGCAGGAGAGGAGAGUGGAAUUCCUAGUGUAGCGGUGAAAUGCGUAGAAAUUAGGAAGAACACCAGUGGCGAAGGCGACUCUCUGGACUGUAACUGACGCUGAGGCACGAAGGCGUGGGGAGCAAACAG
Molecule: ribosomal RNA, 403 nt
Filed under: uncultured bacterium
Lineage: Bacteria
Description: bacterial SSU rRNA
Rfam family: Bacterial small subunit ribosomal RNA
Source: RNAcentral